This 301-nucleotide ribosomal RNA is filed under the name uncultured bacterium. RNAcentral describes it as "partial 16S ribosomal RNA". It matches the Rfam family "Bacterial small subunit ribosomal RNA", at positions 509 to 809 of the family's 1533-position model. The record is from RNAcentral.
CAGCAGCCGCGGGAAUACGAAGGGGGCUAGCGUUGCUCGGAAUGACUGGGCGUAAAGGGCGCGUAGGCGGCGGCCAAAGUCAGGCGUGAAAUUCCCGGGCUCAACCUGGGGGCUGCGUUUGAUACUUGGUUGCUUGAGUGGGGAAGAGGGUCGUGGAAUUCCCAGUGUAGAGGUGAAAUUCGUAGAUAUUGGGAAGAACACCGGUGGCGAAGGCGGCGACCUGGUCCUACACUGACGCUGAGGCGCGAAAGCGUGGGGAGCAAACAGGAUUAGAUACCCCCGUAGUCCCUGUCUCUUAUAU